GUGCUUGCUUCGGCAGCACAUAUACUAAAAUUGGAACAAUACAGAGAAGAUUAGAAUGGCCCCUGCGCAAAGAUGACACGCAAAUUCGUGAAGCAUUCCAUAUAUAU
Small nuclear RNA from Otolemur garnettii (small-eared galago), 107 nucleotides. The record is from Ensembl. Lineage: Eukaryota; Metazoa; Chordata; Mammalia; Primates; Galagidae.